GCCACGGUGGUCUAGCGGUUAGAACGCUGGCCUUGUAAUCCUGGGGUCUCGGGUUCGAUUCCCGGUGGUGCCA
Molecule: transfer RNA, 73 nt
Filed under: Zootermopsis nevadensis
Lineage: Eukaryota; Metazoa; Arthropoda; Insecta; Blattodea; Termopsidae
Rfam family: tRNA
About the family: Transfer RNA (tRNA) molecules are approximately 80 nucleotides in length. Their secondary structure includes four short double-helical elements and three loops (D, anti-codon, and T loops). Further hydrogen bonds mediate the characteristic L-shaped molecular structure. tRNAs have two regions of fundamental functional importance: the anti-codon, which is responsible for specific mRNA codon recognition, and the 3' end, to which the tRNAs corresponding amino acid is attached (by aminoacyl-tRNA synthetases). tRNAs cope with the degeneracy of the genetic code in two manners: having more than one tRNA (with a specific anti-codon) for a particular amino acid; and 'wobble' base-pairing, i.e. permitting non-standard base-pairing at the 3rd anti-codon position.
Source: Rfam by way of RNAcentral